GACUCUCGGCAACGGAUAUCUCGGCUCUCGCAUCGAUGAAGAACGUAGCGAAAUGCGAUACUUGGUGUGAAUUGCAGAAUCCCGUGAACCAUCGAGUCUUUGAACGCAAGUUGCGCCCAAAGCCUUUUUGGCARAGGGCACGUYUGCCUGGGUGUMACGMA
This 161-nucleotide ribosomal RNA is filed under the name Poeciloneuron indicum. RNAcentral's name for it is "5.8S ribosomal RNA". It matches the Rfam family "5.8S ribosomal RNA". From Rfam's summary of the family: 5.8S ribosomal RNA (5.8S rRNA) is a component of the large subunit of the eukaryotic ribosome. It is transcribed by RNA polymerase I as part of the 45S precursor that also contains 18S and 28S rRNA. Functionally, it is thought that 5.8S rRNA may be involved in ribosome translocation. Lineage: Eukaryota; Viridiplantae; Streptophyta; Magnoliopsida; Malpighiales; Calophyllaceae. The record is from RNAcentral.